UGAGCAGGCUAUGCGGUAGCGGAAACGUUUAGUUUACGAGGAAAGUCCGGGCAUCACAGAGCAGGGUAGCUGCUAACGGCAGCCGAGGGCGACCUUAGGGCAAGUGCAACAGAGAUAUACUGCCGUCCUUACGGGCGGUGAUGGUGGAAAGGCGAGGUAAGAGCUCACCGGAGUACAGGAGACUGUGCUGCCAUGUAAACCCUAUCCGAUGCAACGUCUAUUGGUGCCUGUUAUCAUAACGUCGGCUCGGCGGAUAACUGGUAAUGACGGCUUCAGCUUAUCGGCGACGAUAAGCGUAGAUAAAUUACCGCACACGACAGAACCCGGCUUAUCGGUCUGGUCAUAAA
Ruminococcus flavefaciens 007c is the source of this 347-nucleotide non-coding RNA. It matches the Rfam family "Bacterial RNase P class A". Rfam says of the family: Ribonuclease P (RNase P) is a ubiquitous endoribonuclease, found in archaea, bacteria and eukarya as well as chloroplasts and mitochondria. Its best characterised activity is the generation of mature 5'-ends of tRNAs by cleaving the 5'-leader elements of precursor-tRNAs. NCBI's taxonomy places the organism in Bacteria, Bacillati, Bacillota, Clostridia, Eubacteriales, Oscillospiraceae. The record is from Rfam.